Non-coding RNA from Cinara cedri, 1964 nucleotides. NCBI's taxonomy places the organism in Eukaryota, Metazoa, Arthropoda, Insecta, Hemiptera, Aphididae. The record is from the annotation of a GenBank genome assembly.
GCCAUUUAUCAAAGUUCUUGACAAACCUAUACUCGGAUUCGACAACAUUUGAUUACAAUUCUCGGUGCCGUGUAUUGCUGCCGUACAGCGUAUCUGCAGUUUUUCAUUAAUUACAAUAUUGUUUGGUAUGGACAGUCCAUGGGAAACAUGUUACUUUUCACCGCCAACCAAGUAUCUGUAUCAAAACAGAAAAAAAACGUCCUAUCCGACCUUUCUAAAAAGCUCGUCCAAUUACUCUUAUUUUAGAUUCACUAUGUAUAAUGAUUAUUGGCAAAUCCGUUAUUACCCUAUAAUUACUACACUACAUAAUAGUAGUACGCUGGUCGAAUGCUUGACUCUGGUGUGAAAUGCGUGUUUAUCGCGGCGACAGUAAUAUCGACGGUAUAAUUUUCGAAAUAAAAGGGCCCGGCGCUAACACGUAUUAUUUUGCUCGAAAACACGCCUUACAGGGAAAUCUCUCGUGCCUAAUUGUAGAACGGUCUGUUUUCAAUGAUUUUUUUUUUUUUUUUUAUUUCCGUUGUAAAGCGAAAGACUUUCUAUAAAUGUAUUAUGUACUGCGGAUCGCGUUGAACUCUCCUUUUGUCAAUAUUAUCAUUUCAAACUUAUUUGCAACACGCGUUUUGAAAAAUAAGCAUCGAUGUUUACAUUUUAUUGUAUCAUAUCAUUGAAAAUCAAAUUAAAAAAAAAAAUCGAAAAUCUGUCAUUGAUGUAUACCGAUAGGUUAUAAGUCGACAGUGAGUUUCCAAUCUAUUUCCGACAAAUCGGUCGUUUUCGUCCGUAUCCUUUAAUGGGUAUUGAAUAUUGAGCGGGGUAAAAUGAUUUUGUCAUAGGGGGAGAUUAAUUUUUUUUUUUUUUUUUACAAAUAUUAUUAUUAUUGCGGUUUUUUUUUUUCUUAUUUAUCUACACAGUUUAUAGUACAUACAGGUAGGUACUAUACAAUACGUAUUAUAAAUACUAAUAGGUAAAAGGUCAAAGAGUUAAUCCCCCAGGUUAACCGACCCCCUCGGAUAUCAGAUUAAUAUAAAAAAUAAAGUCUUAUCUUUAAGGCGAUCAUUAUUUAAAAUUCAAAUUACAUAAAAUCGGAGUCAGUUUUGGAAAACCGGCACCAUUUAAAUUCGUAUAACUCGCGUGUGCAUAAUUUUACGACUCGUGUGCCAGAAUUCGGACGAAAUUAUAAAAAUCGUCCGACUAAUUUUUUAUUUUAUUAUUAUUAUUAUUAUUAUUUUUUGGCAAACUUUAUUACAUCGUCUUUUUUACUGUUUUUUUUUUUUACAGAAAAAUAAUUAUUACACGCAUACGUUAUACUACGGCCACGCGCGUUUGUAAACGAUUAUAAAAAAUGAUAUUAUUAUUUUGUACACAUUCGCGCGCAUUUACAUAUUAUUAUUAAUAUUACCGUAUUAUGCGCGCAAAUUUUUUUUUUUUUUUUUAUUGCUUUAUGUCCUUGACAAACAAAAGCGAACGUCGAACCGGUUUGUUGACAGUGGCAUUAAACCAACCGUUUACGGAAAGCGUCACUCUCGACUCGUACCACAUUUCAAGUAGGUAGGUGGGUAUACAACUGCAGUGUAAAAAUAUUAUAUAUUAUAUUCCCCGCAAGCUUUCUCUUUUUUCGUAAUGUAUUUUUUUUUUCACAUAAUUAUCAUUAUUAGCAGGUAUAGUCCCGACGACCGUUUUUUCAUACUCAAGUUAAGUGGCGGACCGGAAUUAUAUUUCAGACCGGGAAAUUGUAUUAUUUUUUUAUUUAUUUUUUUUUUUUGGCCGGCCAGGAGAAUUCAACCCAAAACAAAUGAUAGUAAAAUCCCCAAAAAACUUCCUAUAGACGUGAUACAACUCACAAUAAAUAUUCUGAGGUUUGAUCAAAAUUUAUGGUUUAGCUAUAGAUACUGAUUUUCAAUCAGGCCUUGGACGUAAAUAUCGGGCCAGAAUUCGCCAGGAUUCACUUCUCAGACCGUUAUAAUAAU